RNAcentral lists this ribosomal RNA (387 nucleotides) under uncultured soil bacterium. RNAcentral's name for it is "bacterial SSU rRNA". It matches the Rfam family "Bacterial small subunit ribosomal RNA", at positions 26 to 399 of the family's 1533-position model. The record is from RNAcentral.
AGAAUCAACGCUGGCGGCGUGCCUCAGACAUGCAAGUCGAACGAUUAAAAGCUCUCUUCGGAGAGUGUAUAGAGUGGCGCACGGGUGAGUAACACGUAAGUAAUCUACCUUUGAGUGGGGAAUAACGUCCGGAAACGGACGCUAAUACCGCAUAAUGCAGCGGCAUCGCAAGAUGACAGUUGUUAAAGAUUUAUCGCUUGAAGAGGAGCUUGCGGCAGUAUUAGCUUGUUGGUAAGGUAACGGCUUACAAGCUACGAUCUGUAACCGGUCUAAGAGGACGGUCGGUCACACUGACACUGAAGUAACCGGGUCAGACUACCGUACGGGAGGCACGCAGGUCGGUAGUUUUGGGACAAGUGGGACGAAAGCCUAGACCCAGCAACGCCG